Molecule: long non-coding RNA, 1362 nt
Filed under: Dermacentor andersoni
Lineage: Eukaryota; Metazoa; Arthropoda; Arachnida; Ixodida; Ixodidae
Description: uncharacterized LOC126517993
Source: RNAcentral
GCCAUGCCGCGUUGGUUUGUCGUCCCUUCCCACCCCUGGAUCUUUGGAGGACGCUCUUCGGGCUUCAACCGUACGUCUCGGGCAGACGGAGGUGCUUUGUUUUUCCUGCGCGCGGAACGGGGAAGCCGAUGAUGCUUGACCGGAGAAACGCGGCGCACGCUCGUGCUCCUUCGCUGUACGCGGGGCGGACGCGGCGUGGUAGUAUACAAGUCCGGCGUGGUGGUUGUUCGGCGACCGACGGUGCCCUCGCGGCCCUGCCGGCAGCCGGUUUGGGAACUUCGCCGCUGGUUCUCGCGAGCUCGCCGGCUUGUUGUUUUGUUUUCCCAGCGGUUCGUUCUGUGCGAUGCCGUUGCCUCUUUGUGGGGUGCCGCUUGUUCUCGCGUAACGCUCAGCGUCUCGCAUGCCGGACCUUCGAUUCCGUGUCCGGUGCGCGAAACUGGUGUUACCUGCCGUCGCUGUCUCUGUGGAUCUGGUACGCAGUCACAAAACGAGUGGAAGUCGCGUAUGCGAUGUAGUGCACGCAGUGUCCGUAGCCUUCGUCGCCAUUCAAUCGCUUGAGUGUCUCAACUGCGCGUCUAAACUUGUCCAAAUAUGCUUGAAAGCGUAAAGCGGGUUGCCAUUGUGUUAUAAUAAUACUAAUAAAAAAUCACUUAUUACUCUCAUUGCAAGUCGUUUCACGGGUGAAAACAAAAUACUGAUAAGAGCUAAAUUCGAACAACAUCCUCCGUUUUCGGGAAUGCGUAAUUAGUUGUCACGAUAGCAGCUGCUGUAGUUAAACCGAAACGCGUGCGGUUUUGAGGUACAGUCGAUUCGUUAUAAAGGAAAGCAUACGAGCGCCUCCCCAAAAAAGCUGUUCGUCGCGUUUCUCCGAUCGGGCUGUGUUUUGUGAUGGUGCGUUACAAACGGCAAGCAUUGUCGACUGGUCGUCGGUGCGCCCCUUUACGGUGGGCUUUCCCGCACGAUCUCGGACCCACGCAAGACAUCGACGCUGCACCGCCGCCACACCGGUUGUUGUGCUUGGUGAUUUUGGUUCUGCUCAUCCACCGGGAAAAAAAGCUUCUGCGAAUGUGUGUUUCUUCGACGUUUGUUGGACAUCGACGACGGCCUCCGGAUUGUGGUCCCGUCACUGAAUCAACCGCUGUGCGUCUAUCCGUGCCACCACCGGAUUUUCGGGGAGAAAAUUGAGAGGUGAUCUCUCAUGAACGCAGUGAUUUUCUUUUUUUUUUCGGCAACGAUGGUGUGAAUCGUUCUGAAAGGUUAAGUUGUCCUCCUCGACACAACGACAGAGAGCAUCCUGAACUGGACGCGGUAUCCUUACGGGCCUCAAGCGAGAACACCUGGGUGGGUGGAGGAGAGCUUCAC